UCUUUAAUUUUCGUCUUCAGCUGACACUCAACAUUUCUACCUACAGAGUGGCCACAAAGUUUGGAAAUAGAAGUGGCUUGGUUUGACCAUCUUAAGUGAUCACCAGUUAGCGUGCGCUCUUGACAGGCAAGGGAAGGUCACUCUGAGACCAACCACCACAUGACCCCAGAGUGGAGAUACUGGUAGGAUGAUAAUUUCUAAAACUGGAUGUGAUGACGUAGGCCUGUGGAGUAUGCUGAAUGCUGGCCAGCUAGAACACUCUUUCGUAUGGAUGCCAGAAAAAUUUGGGACACAGGAUGAAAAGUUCAAUUUGAAUGUCGGAUAAGCAACAAAUACUUUUUUAGUUUAAGUAUGCAUAGGGAUACUUACAUAUUCCUUGCAUAAGUGGGAUACAUACAUGGGACAUACCUACAAGGGACGAUUAUACUAAAAACUUGUUUUUUAUCUGAAAUUCAAAUUUAACCGAUGUCCUCCUAUAUUUUUAUUUGCUAAAUCUGGCAACUCUAUGCUUGAGGUAUGCUGAAAGGGCACGGUUUUUUUGUUUUCCUUUUUCUUCAGCGAAAAUCAGACACAAAUAACCUAAGCCUGUGGUUCUCGAACUUUAGCUUGUAUCACAAUCACCUGCAGGGCUUGUUAAAACAUAGACUAUUGACGAUUGAGUCUCUGAUUCAGUGGAUCUGGGGUAGGGCCCUGGAAAUGUUCAUUUUUAACAUUCCUAAGGCAGGCAUUGCUGAUUCUGCUGAUUCCAGGGAUCACAUCUGAGAACUACUGAUGGGAGGUGAGGCAUUACAGAUGUAUGUGCAAGGAUUGCUGGAAAUGCUGUGUUAAUGUAUCCUGUUUGUUGCCAUUCUGCCCAGCACACUAGUUUAUGCAUCACUAACAAGGGACAACACAUCAAACAUAUCAUGCAUUGUCACAUAAUAUCAAUAAAUCACUUAUUAUGUAUAUUUGCCUCUGUUUCCAGACUGUAUGGCCACUCCGUAGGAAUGUGAUGACGACCAGGCAGAGGGUCCAUACUGAUAGUCAUCAUCAAUGACAACUGUCUGCAUCAAUGACAUGGCAACUUCCUCUCCAGAGUCAUGGUGGCAAGACACAAAUGACUCUAUUUCAUUUGAUGGUCCCCCUAUACUGACCCAAUCAGCAGGAAGUAGUCAGAAAGACAAGGAUGACCCUGUUCCUCUUAUAGCAUAUGAUUAUGUUGGGUUACAAUUGACAGUGAGGAGUUGUCGGCGCCACUCACAUGAACAGUCAUCUUUCCUAUACAUAUUAAAGAUUUUGUUCUUGUUAUCUUUAAACGAAAUCAGGUAUAAGGCAUUGCUCUGGUCUCUGAUGCUUAUCCAGUAAAACAGAAGAUUAUCAGGAACUGAGACCAGAUGUCUGCCCCACCUGGAGACCAGCCUCUUAUAUAACUGGCUUGUAGUCUUUGUUCUGUGAGAUGGUUUUUCCAGACAUUAGUCAGCCAUCUUCCCCCUUGCUGGCAAGCUGUAAUAAAACCCUUUCUCUCCUACCACCUUGCUUCUCCACUAUUGGUGUGUCUUGAGGCUGGCAGAUGACCCACCCUGGGCAGUAACAAAUUGAAUUUCCACACCAUGACUUUUUCCAGGGACCCGAUUUUCUUGGAGGAAGAUAAAAGAGGGAUACGCUUGUGCUUUCCAUAAAACUGAAACGUACUGAAAUGUUUUAAAGUAAAUUUAAAAUUGACAUUUUAUAUUUUUACUAUCAC
This 1723-nucleotide long non-coding RNA is filed under the name Equus caballus (horse). RNAcentral's name for it is "lncRNA (ENSECAG00000050816.1)". The record is from RNAcentral. Lineage: Eukaryota; Metazoa; Chordata; Mammalia; Perissodactyla; Equidae.